UACGGAGGGUGCAAGCGUUAUCCGGAUUUACUGGGCGUAAAGGGCGCGUAGGCGGCCACCGCAAGUCGACUGUGAAAUCUCCGGGCUUAACCCGGAAAGGUCAGCCGAUACUGCGGGGCUAGAGUGCAGAAGGGGCAACUGGAAUUCUCGGUGUAGCGGUGAAAUGCGCAGAUAUCGGGAGGAACACCAAUGGCGAAGGCAGCUCGCUGGGACGGUACUGACGCUGAGACGCGAAAGCGUGGGGAGCAAACAGG
Molecule: ribosomal RNA, 254 nt
Filed under: uncultured bacterium
Lineage: Bacteria
Description: partial 16S ribosomal RNA
Rfam family: Bacterial small subunit ribosomal RNA
Source: RNAcentral